AUGUUCCAUGAAUGGUAUUAUUAGCAGUAUGAUGGGUUUUUAGAUGUGGUGUCUGGUUAUAUGGGCAGGUUAGGCGGGUAGGUUAAUGGGCCGAAACUGGAGCACAAUGUUUCAUGAAUACUAUUAUGGAUGAAUUUCAUAUAUACCCUUACAAACUUUAAAAAUUUCAUUAUACCCAACCAAAACUAAAAAUAUCAUAUAUGCCCUUACAAAGUAGUUAAAAUAUCAAAUAUGUCAAAUUUAUUUAAAAUAUCUGUAACGCUUAAAUUUAUUUUUACCCACAAACAAUAGUAAACUCCAUAUAUAAUAUUUAAGCUAAAUAAAUUAUGCUAGAAAUGAGUAAAUAUAAUAUUUGAAGUUAAAGGUCAUAUAUGGGAUUUCAAGGUUUGAGAAAAAUAAGGGUAAAGUCAUUUAUCAAAUUGUUUUAAGUGAAUUGGGUAUAUACGACAUUUCAACUACUUUGUAAGGGUAUAUAUGAUAUUUAUAAUCUUGCAUGGGUAUAUAUGAUAUUUUGCAAGUUUGUAGGGGUAUAUAUGAAAUUGCCCCUAUUAUUAUUAGUUUUUAGACAGGUGAGAUGGGCGAGUCAGGCGGGUCGGUUAUGGGUUGAAACAGCAUAAUGUUGCAUGAAUGGUAUUAUUAGUGGUUGCAUUGCAUGAUGGGUUUUAAGAUGUGUAAGAUGGGCGGGUUGGUUAAUGGGCCGGAACUGGAGUAACGUUUCAUGAAUGGUAUUAUAGUUUUUAGACGUGGUGAGAUGGGCGGGGUGGUUUUGGCGGAGUUGCAAACAAUUAUAAUUACAAUAAUGGUUUGUAAAUGUUUGUAU
Molecule: long non-coding RNA, 820 nt
Organism: Helianthus annuus (common sunflower)
Lineage: Eukaryota; Viridiplantae; Streptophyta; Magnoliopsida; Asterales; Asteraceae
Exons: 3
Source: RefSeq, a predicted model, not a curated record